GAAAAGUGGAAGGGCUGGUGCCCUGCUGCUGCUGCUCAUCUCUGGGGUGCCUCCUAGACUGGUUCCCACACAUCAGCAUCUACUCCUCCCAUUCAGGUCCUGCUGUUGUGCUCCCUGGUGUGGGCUCCACUUCUGUGCUGGUGGCAAGCUGGGAGAGCAUGGAAGGAAUUCAGCAGUUGCACUCAGCUCCCAGUGGAUGAGAGACUGAUGAAGAGAGUGAAGCUGGCAGCCAAGUUUCCCCAGGGUGCAGGCCAGGGUGCUGCUGCGGUAAGUUCAUAAACAGGACAUGGUGUCACAUCACCUCCCUCAAGCCUUCCAGAGGAAGGUAGACGCCAAGGCA
Bos indicus x Bos taurus (hybrid cattle) is the source of this 340-nucleotide long non-coding RNA. The record is from Ensembl. NCBI's taxonomy places the organism in Eukaryota, Metazoa, Chordata, Mammalia, Artiodactyla, Bovidae.